Molecule: unclassified non-coding RNA, 910 nt
Filed under: Hevea brasiliensis (rubber tree)
Lineage: Eukaryota; Viridiplantae; Streptophyta; Magnoliopsida; Malpighiales; Euphorbiaceae
Source: RNAcentral
UUUUCAGGUGGUUAUAUGCAUGGUGAGGGGACAUAUAUUGGACCUGAUAAAGUGAUCUACAGGGGACGCUGGCGGUUUAACCUUAAACAUGGUUUAGGAUAUCAAAUGUAUCCCAAUGGGGAUAUUUUUGAAGGGUCCUGGAUGCAAGGAACCCCUGAAGGACCGGGUAAGUAUACAUGGGAUAACGGGAAUGUCUACUUUGGAAACAUGAAAGGAGGGAAAAUAUCAGGGAAAGGAACUCUCACUUGGAUUAACGGAGAUUCGUAUGAAGGGAGCUGGUUAAAUUGUGCAAUGCAUGGCGUCGGUAUGUAUACAUGGAGUGAUGGUAGCUGUUAUAUUGGUACAUGGACACAUAGUCUAAAGGAUGGAAAAGGAACAUUUUAUCCUAGUGGUAGCAGGCUUACGGCUGGUCAAGAAUUGUACCUCAAUGCAUUGAGAAAACGAGGGUUACUGCCAGAUAUGAGAAAACAAAGUCAAGUCUCCCAUAUCCAUCAUGCCGCUUCAGUUGAUAUGGGAAAUGUUAAAGUAAGUGGUAAACUUCCAGAGAGAAACCUAUUAAAUUUCGGUCAGUCGCGACCUACAAAUGUUUCUCUGGAAAGACGAUGGAGUCUUGAAGUAGCCAUUGAGAAAGUUAUUGGUCAUAAUUUAGAUGGAGACAUGGAGGAUGCUAUGAGUGCUCCAAUUUUGGAAAGAGAGUACAUGCAAGGCAUCCUAAUCAGUGAGGUUGUCUUAAAUGAGCGUUUUUCACCACCAUCCGGGAGAGCCAGAAGGAGGCAAAAGAGAUUUGUAAGGGAAUUAAAGAGACCAGGUGAAGCAAUCAUAAAGGGUCACAGGAGUUAUGAUUUAAUGCUAAGUCUACAGCUUGGGAUUAGAUACACUGUGGGGAAAAUUACACCUAUACAAAGACGAG